Non-coding RNA from Struthio camelus australis, 1708 nucleotides. Lineage: Eukaryota; Metazoa; Chordata; Aves; Struthioniformes; Struthionidae. The record is from RefSeq and is a predicted model, not a curated record.
UGCUGCUUCUUCACACUGAAAUCCUGAAGAGGCACAAUCAACUUCUCACCGGGACAGAAAGCUUACCAGGAGCAGGUUAAUUAGGCUCCUUCAGAGCACAGUCUUGAAUUUCUUCUCAUCUUGGGGAAGUGCACAGGAAAUGAUGCAGGGGAACAGCGGCAUAGUUCAAGCACAUCCUGACAGUGAGCAGAUCCUAUGCUGCAGAAUUGAAACUGCAAUACAGAAGUUGAUUUUGGAGUUCAGGUAUCAUAAGGAGACCAAAGUAAGUUUGCAUUCAUCUUCCGGUUAAGACAGCUACCAGCAACGGAGGCAACUGAGGGCUGGUGUUCCCUCUGGCAGGACUUCCAGGGCAGUUCUCCAGCAGCGUAGUCCAGAGUACCUGCAAUAUUUCAUAGUCAGUCAGAGGAGCAGCCAGUUCUUCACUAUUGUUCCCCUGGAGGCACAGUUUUUGAAUGAAUGCAGGAGGCAAAAGAAACAGAAAUGGCGGUCUACAAAAAUCUAACAGUGAAUAACUUGAUUUGAGGAACUGAGUAAUUCUUGAUUGUUCACAACUGAACACACCGAGCAGCGUUUGGCUUCUAUCACUUCACAACCCCCACAGAAGGAGGAAUUCAGGCAUCUGCUGUUGGGAAACAGGAAACUGUGCUCGAUGGACUCUCACCCACUCAGAGGAACUCUAACGCAAUUGAAUUAAGAGCCUAUUUCCAGCAGAGGCCUCUUGCUGACAUUAUGAAGUCCAAAGUGCAGCGCACAAACAGAAGAGUCCGUACAAUGGGAUACCUGUGACAUCUGUUAUAUUUUGCAGCACACUUCGGUACCCUCACUGCGCCCGGAAGGAAGGAUUGUUUCCCUUCUUUAUCUGGAGAAGAUGUAACGCAGCCCUCCUGCCCGAGAGACAUCUGAAGGAUCGCCAGAACUAGGCAGACCUUCCAAACCUGUAACCUGGCUGCACGCUCGCAGGUAGAAUUGAACAAUUGAAGACCCAAAUGAAAAAUAAGAAGCUUUCUGAAUAUAAUCAUUGGAUUUUUUUUUUUAAUUCAAGCUAGAUACUAUACUGUACUGCAUUAACUAAAUUGGAAAAACUGCUGUACCAUCUUGCUGAAAAUAUACCUGUAUACUAAUAAUUUAUCCUUGUUACAAAAUGACAGUAGCAUUCAGUCAUGCAAGGCUUAUUUAAGUAUUUCCAUUCCACAUGCAGCCACAGUUUAAAUAUGCGUGCAAUAUUACAGUCCUCAUUAAAUAAUGAAUUUCACUACUGAUGUCAAUAUAUGCUUAAUAUAGUGCUGUUGCCUUAUACUCCAAAACAAGAACCAUUACAGGCAAAAAAAUUGUAAAUAUAAACAAAUGUCUGAGUUGAACACUCACCAUGUCUGACAGAUAGCUGGAUGUCAUAAAUCCUUUCAUGGCUAGAUUUGCAUAGAAAUCUGUGAACAAUCCAAACAGCAGUUAAACAUCAGUUCUGCUCCCCUAAUUUGCAAUAGUUUCACCAUUACAUGUAUAGCUUUUUCCAAAAAGCAGCGCUAAGCCCCUUUCAUUCUACCAUCAAGCUCUGUUACUGAACAUACAUAUGAAGUGUAUAAGUUUACAAAAUAUGUCAGCAUAUAUCUGCAAAUUAACAGCACAGCUUCUUCCACUUAUAGCAGUAAAGAUGCUUUUUCAUUUCUGGGAUAAGAAAAUGGAAAAAAAAAUAGAUUGCUUGGCAGAGUUU